This 72-nucleotide transfer RNA is filed under the name Marmota monax (woodchuck). It matches the Rfam family "tRNA". Rfam says of the family: Transfer RNA (tRNA) molecules are approximately 80 nucleotides in length. Their secondary structure includes four short double-helical elements and three loops (D, anti-codon, and T loops). Further hydrogen bonds mediate the characteristic L-shaped molecular structure. tRNAs have two regions of fundamental functional importance: the anti-codon, which is responsible for specific mRNA codon recognition, and the 3' end, to which the tRNAs corresponding amino acid is attached (by aminoacyl-tRNA synthetases). tRNAs cope with the degeneracy of the genetic code in two manners: having more than one tRNA (with a specific anti-codon) for a particular amino acid; and 'wobble' base-pairing, i.e. permitting non-standard base-pairing at the 3rd anti-codon position. RNAcentral also lists the same sequence under 1 other name. The record is from Rfam by way of RNAcentral. Lineage: Eukaryota; Metazoa; Chordata; Mammalia; Rodentia; Sciuridae.
AGGGAUGUAGCUCAGGGGUAGAAUGUUCACCUAGCAUGUGGGAGGCCCUGGGUUUAAUCCCCAGUACCACUA